AGAAAGAAAGAAAGAAAAGAGCCUCGGGCCCUGGCCCAGAGUCAAAUGGGCAUCUAGAGGAACGUAGGCCUGGCCUUCAGCGGGUGCUGCCAGGAGCCGCUGCCUCUGAGUUCUGAGGUUUCUUCGACUUCCGCUUUCUUCCGCGAGGAAUUCCACCGCGCCCCAAGGCGGGGGCCAACAGCCCCUAGGCCGGGAAAGGAGCGAGGGGGGCCCCCCGCCGGGAACCAGUGCCCGCCGGGCAGCCGCCGGAGGCCGGAGCGGCUUCUCGCCGCGGAGAAUGGAGCGGCGCCGGAGGAAGUGAGCUCACCCUGGAAGGAAGGAAAGCAGGGAGCCCGGACCCACGGCGCGGCUUCCAGGCCCCACGCGCGCGCGGAGCUGGAAGGCCAGGCCGACUCUGGGGAAGAAGCUGCGAGCUCCCGACUCGCGGCCUCGGCCCUCAAGGAGGCCGGUUCGCCCAGGGCCUCAGAUGCAGCCGACUCCAUGGGACUUGUACGGUUGGUCCUUCGUGCUCCCUGCGAGCAGGAGCGCCAGGUGUGACCUUGGAGAUUCAGUCCUGGGGAAGGAGGUCGGAGUCUUCCUAGGUUCAGGUUUCAUAUUCUGAAGAAUGCCUUAUGAAGCUACCAACUUCAUAGUAUCCUAUGUUGGGAUUUGAUGAGCUCAGUGGCCCCACUACCAGAGAUGUCAAAUUUAAUCCAUGAGUUAAGGUGAAAACAUCCACACUCACCUUCACUGGCAAGACAAAAAGAGAGACUGAAUUCAAGGCCUCAUACAUGCCAGGUACAUGAUUUACCAUGGAAAUACCCUCGAUCCCAUGAUUUUUCAUCAAAGAACUAUAUUCUGAUUUUUCCAAGUUCCUUCAGGGUGACGUACAAUCUAAAGCUACAAAAGCAAACAAAUAUCUGCUUUAAAGUUUAAGCAUACAGAAGGAUCUCUCCCAUCAUCUGUGCACUGCAAGUAUGUGUUUCCCACAGGAGCCAGAAGAAAGCAUCAGAUAGAACCGAAGAAUAUCACUGACUAGUUGUAAAGAAAAGAAAAGAGAUCUGUAGUUUCAGAAGCAGGAAAAACCAAGGUCAUGAGUCCUGCAUCAGGAAUCAGCCUUUGACUGCCUCAUAAUCUGGAAGAAGACACAGCCUGGAAAACGGAAGUGAUAGAGGAAGCAGAUGGAAGCCUAAGAAGAGACAUGCCCAGGGAUGAGGUGAUGUCUCCUAGAAUCCAAGUCUCACUGGAGGCUCAGGCAUUGUGAUUGCAUGCUCACCAAACAAGACUAUUUGAGAAAACAAUGUGACUGAAACACAGGGUGCCUGUGAGCUGAUAUCAGCCAUUAAUAGAAAACUCCAAGAAGCAUGGGGUAAGCCUCUCUGAAAAUACGCAUCAUCCUCUCUGAUAAGAUCUGUUGAGCAUCACAGAUGCCCACUGUAUAUUUUUGUACCAUUAAACGUCUUAUUAUGGCCUGUGAUAGUCAGUCGUGUCCACUAGAUAAGAUUUAUAAUCAGCAUGGAAACAAAUCUCUAGGGACACAGGUGUGAGAUAUAAUCUACUUUAGGUUAAGGUGGAAAGAUCCACCUUAAAUGCAGGUGCUACCGUUCCAGGACUGGAAUCCUAAAUUGACCACAUUCAACUUUCUGGGCUUCCUGACUGUAGAUACAACAUGGCCAGCAGCCUGGAGCUCCUGCCAUCACUCCUUUUCCCCUCUGAUGAACUGUCCCCUCCAGCUCAGAGCCAAAAUAAACCCCUCCUUCCUCAAGUUGUUUCAUCAGGGGUUUAGUCCUGGCAACUAUAACUAAAAUAAGUUACACUACCUGGUAAACACAUACUUGGAUGCUGCGUUGGUUUGAAAGAAAAUGGCCCCCAGAGGGAGUGGCACUAUUAGGAGGUGUGACCUUGUUGGAAUAGGUGUGGUCUUGUUGGAGGAAGUGUGUCACUGAG
Molecule: non-coding RNA, 1926 nt
Organism: Cricetulus griseus (Chinese hamster)
Lineage: Eukaryota; Metazoa; Chordata; Mammalia; Rodentia; Cricetidae
Source: RefSeq, a predicted model, not a curated record